This 1830-nucleotide ribosomal RNA is filed under the name Triticum aestivum (bread wheat). RNAcentral describes it as "partial small subunit ribosomal RNA". The record is from RNAcentral. Lineage: Eukaryota; Viridiplantae; Streptophyta; Magnoliopsida; Poales; Poaceae.
AUGGAGCAAGAUGAGCAGGAGACACUAAUGGAGCUAAAGAGGAGAACCAAGAUUGAGAACUUUAGGAAACAUAAGGAGGCAUCUGAGCAUGUUCAAAUGGUUAAGCAAAAACUACCAGUUCUUCUAACUGAAGAUGACUCUGAUCUGGAUGCAGAUGAGGACUUUGUUAACAGGCUUAAUGAUUGGAGGAGGCAUAGAGAGGACCCACUCCUUCAUUUUGAAGGAGACACUGAUGUGGAUGAAGUGUAUGGGGAAGAUGAGGAAGAGGAGCAAGUGGAGCAGAUGGAGCAUGAGGAGGAGGAGCAGAUGGAGCAACAACAGGAGCCAACAAAGAAGAAGGAAAAAAGAAAAGGGCCAACCAAGAGGUCACAUUCAAGCUUGGAGCAAAGAUUUGAGGAUGUGUGGGUACCAUCAUCAGAUGAGGAGUAUGUAGGUGAUUUGAAGCAGGAAUAUGAUGAUGAAGCUGAGAAUGCACCUUUUAUUCUGCCCAAUGGAAGGAAGAGCAGAGCAUAUAAAGCAAAACCAAGAAAGUGGUAUAGUGAAGAAAGAGAGAACCCAGAGGAGCAGUUCUGUAGAAAUCUUUGUUUUCUUAAUGUGUACCAAUUUAGGAGAGCACUUCAGACAUUUCACAUAAGUCAGAAUAGGAACUAUGACUUCCACAAAAACUGCAAUGAUAGCAUCAUAGUUGUGUGCACUAAUGUGAAAUGUCCUUUCUACAUUGCACCUUCUGUUAUUGCAAAUGAAACUACUUUUUGCAUCAGAAAGGCUAAUCUUCUGCACACAUGCCCAGCAGUAGCAGAGAAUACAAAGGUCACAGGAAAAUGGGUGGCACACCAGUGUGAGGAUAUGCUGAGAAUUGAUAUUGCCACACCAAUCACCAUAAUAAUGCAGAAUUUGAAGAAGAAAUAUGGAGUAGAGAUCUCAACCCAUAUGGCCUAUAGGGCUAGGAAACAAGCAUUGAAGGUUGUCCAAGGAGACCAGAGAGGUCAAUACACUAGGAUUAGAGAUUAUUUGCAGGCUAUUUUAGACACAAACCCAGGAAGUAGAUGUGUUGUGACCACUAAGCAUUUGCCACAACACCCAAGCAAGAACCCAAGGUUCCAUGGCCUGUUCUACUGUCUUAAUGCUUGCAAAGAAGGGUUUUUAAAUGGAUGUAGGCCAUUCAUAGGGGUAGAUGGUUGUUUUAUCAAGCUGUCAACAGGUCAGCAGAUCCUUGCUGCAACGGGAAGGGAUGGAAGCAACAACAUAUACCCUAUAGCAUUUGGAGUUGUUGACAAAGAGGACACAAACAGCUGGACCUGGUUCUUAACACAAUUGAAAGAUGCACUUGGUGGAGAAAGUGGAAAGUUUGGGUAUUAUACUAUCAUUUCUGAUAGGCAGAAGGGCCUUUUAAAUGCAGUAAACCAUGUUUUCCCCAAUUGUCCACAAAGAUUCUGCCUUAGACACAUUUAUCAGAAUUUCCAAACUGCUGGUUUUAGAGGUGAUGAAUUAAAGAAACACAUGGAUGCAGCUAGUUACUCUUAUACUAAGAAUGAACACCUAGCUGCAAUGAAUGAUUUGAAAAGAGAGUGUAAGGAAACUUGGGCAUGGCUUAAUAAAGUACCAGUUGAUACAUGGGCUAGACAUGCAAUGGAUUUUACCUGCAAGACUGACCUAGUUGUGAACAACAUCAGUGAGGUGUUUAACAAAAUGAUCCUAGAUGUUAGAGGGAAGCCAAUAAAGACCAUGCUGGAAGGAAUUAGGACUAAAUUGAUGGUCAAAUUUAACACCAAUAGAACUAAGACAGAGACAGCAAAUUGGAGAUUUGCCCAACAUAUGCAGAGAUGUUAA